RNAcentral lists this ribosomal RNA (828 nucleotides) under uncultured bacterium. RNAcentral's name for it is "bacterial SSU rRNA". It matches the Rfam family "Bacterial small subunit ribosomal RNA", at positions 61 to 887 of the family's 1533-position model. The record is from RNAcentral.
GUCGAGGGGCAGCAUGUCCAGCAAUGGAUGAUGGCGACCGGCGGAAGGGUGCGUAACGCGCGAGCAACAUGCCCUAUACAGGGAGAUACACCAGGGAAACUUGGUCUAAUAUCCCAUAGCAUUCAUUGAAGGCAUCUUUAAUGAAUUAAAGCUUCGGUGGUAUAGGAUUGGCUCGCGUGACAUUAGCCAGAUGGUGAGGUAACGGCUCACCAUAGCAAUGAUGUCUAGGGGUUUUGAGAGGAAGGCCCCCCACACUGGGACUGAGACACGGCCCAGACUCCUACGGGAGGCAGCAGUGAGGAAUAUUGGACAAUGGAUGGAAAUCUGAUCCAGCCAUGCCGCGUGCAGGAAGACGGCCUUAUGGGUUGUAAACUGCUUUUAUACGGGAGCAAUAAGGGUUACGAGUAAUCCGAUGAGAGUACUGUAUGAAUAAGGAUCGGCUAACUCCGUGCCAGCAGCCGCGGUAAUACGGAGGAUCCGAGCGUUAUCCGGAAUUAUUGGGUUUAAAGGGUGCGUAGGCGGCCAUUUAAGUCAGCGGUGAAAUUUUGCAGCUUAACUGUAACAGUGCCGUUGAUACUGUUUGGCUAGGAUUUGGUUGUAGUGUGCGGAAUGUGUGGUGUAGCGGUGAAAUGCUUAGAUAUCACACAGAACACCGAUUGCGAAGGCAGCACACUAAGUCAUUAUUGACGCUGAGGCACGAAAGUGUGGGGAUCAAACAGGAUUAGAUACCCUGGUAGUCCACACUGUAAACGAUGAUAACUCGCUGUCGGCGAUACACAGUCGGUGGCCAAGCGAAAGCAUUAAGUUAUCCACCUGGGGAGUACGACC